Molecule: long non-coding RNA, 412 nt
Organism: Arabidopsis lyrata subsp. lyrata
Lineage: Eukaryota; Viridiplantae; Streptophyta; Magnoliopsida; Brassicales; Brassicaceae
Exons: 2
Source: RefSeq, a predicted model, not a curated record
AUGCUGUAAAAAUUAUGGAGAAAUAGUGGCUUGAAGAGCAAGAUGAGGAGACACAGCAACCUCCGGUUCCUUCUAGGCGAUUCAACUUCAGGUGAAGGAAUGGUAAUGGAAGCUUGCAGUUUGAGAAUAGUUAAAGGCUCCUUGCAUCAUUGAGAGGUCUUUUGGACAUUGAGAACUGGGAAGCAACAUGUGGACUGCAGUUUAAGAAUUAGCAAGGAUUAGAAGUUCUUGGUGCGUAUUUACUCUAGCAGUAAAACUUUAUUUGAAAUAAACUUAGCAAUGAAGUGACAUAGGCAAUAAACUGUAAUAGAUUGUUGUAGAUAAAAAUUGAAACGUGAGUGAGAAGGAUAAUUCUGAAUAUAAAGAUCACAGUUUGAGUAAAAUAGCAAGGUAAUAUGAUUCUGAUUGUCCU